AAAAACUCAAUUCCUGAAUUUCCGUGUCUAAUGUUUGAUCAUUCGUCUUAUUUGAAAAAAUUAUGAAAAUUUUUUUAAAAAAUAAGUUAUACAUAAAGUAUUAUUCAUAUUUUAUCAUUUAACAAUAAUAAAAAUACUAAACAUAAAAAAAAUUUAAAUAAGACGGACGGUCAAACGUUGGACACGAAAACCGAAUAAUUCAGUCUUU
This is a microRNA precursor of Oryza rufipogon (brownbeard rice), 208 nucleotides long. It matches the Rfam family "MIR812 microRNA precursor family". The record is from Rfam. Lineage: Eukaryota; Viridiplantae; Streptophyta; Magnoliopsida; Poales; Poaceae.